CGCCAGUCGACCACCACCGCACUUCGAUCUCUGCUGCUUCCAUCUGCCCUCUGCUACUUCGAUUCGCCCUCUGCUGCUUUGGGACUUAGAUUCCCGGAGUUUCGAGCAAUAGCCAGUUCAUCUUUUUGUUCACUCAUUUGGGAUUUCAGGAGAGAUAGCUAAGAUUUGGGAUACAAGAAAGCAAUAAAUGGGUUUGGUAAUGGGCGUUUGUGUUGUUCUGAAGAGGGAGAUGCAGGGAAUGCCUCUGGAAUGUGUAGGCACACACCCACACCCUUUGAAUCGAUCUGAAUGAUGCUCUCAACUUCGGUACCGGGUUUUGGGACAUUAGCGUUUACGGCUUGUUGUUUGGUUGCCCAAAAGACCACUGGCACUCUCUUAUCUCACCUUUAUGAGUUCUGCAAUCCCUUGACCAAGCUGCUCGAAAGGAUCUCAUUCCAAUAAAGUUGGGAGUGAAGGCAGCUAAGUUUGCCAAGCAAAUAGUUAACACUCAGAUGAAAUCAUUUAAGUGUAUGGAAUAUUUGCAGAUUAGAGUAAUCCCUACUUGACUCUUGAUCCAAAAUAUAAAGCUUGUUUCUCUGAGUGGAAAGAUCUAUUAGGUCCAUCAUGGAAUUUAAGACACAAGUCCAUAAUCACAAGGUGAAUCUCAUAUGGAACAACUCCAAGUUGGAGACCAGUGGAGCGGGUAGUCCAUGAGUGGACAUUUAAGUGAUAUUCUGGAGCUUUCUUGAGUGGACGAUUGCUUGGUUUUACUUUGUGUUGUAUCGUGCCAAUGAGUUGUUAGUACUGACAGAUAAGCAAAUAGUUGCCAAGGUGACAUCUUACCUGUCAAAGGGCAUCAAGGACUUCGAGAAUGCUGCUGAGAUAAAUAAGGACAAGUUUUAUGUUUUCCGGCUUUAUGUAUUUAUAUGCACUUAGGGAAUGUUAAUUCCUAUGUAAAUGUUGAGAUGAAUAUUGCUGAUGGAAUGAAAUGAUUUUUGGAAUCAAGGAUGUGUUGUUCAAUUGUACAUAA
Molecule: long non-coding RNA, 1009 nt
Organism: Rosa rugosa (rugosa rose)
Lineage: Eukaryota; Viridiplantae; Streptophyta; Magnoliopsida; Rosales; Rosaceae
Exons: 8
Source: RefSeq, a predicted model, not a curated record